UAUAAAAAUAAAAAUAAAAAUGUAAUGAAUGGUAUGAAAAAAGCCAAACCAGACUUGAAUCUUAUUGCUCAAAAAUUCCAACUACUCUCCUACAAAUUCAUAUAGAUCUUCCUUAUCACAAUCUCUUUUUUUGUAUGUUAAAAAUUAUUAAAAAUUUAAAAAUAAGAUCUGGCUUCAUUCAAAUUUUCAAAACAAAAAAAUAAAGAUGUAAUAAAUGCCAUAGAAAAAUCCAAAUCAGUCUUGAAUCUCAUUCUUCAAAAGUUCCAAUGACCUUAACACAACCUCUUUUUUUGUAUGCUAAAACUUAUCAAAAAUUUUAAAAUAAGAUCUGGCUUCUUUCAAAAUUUCAAAAAAAAUAAAAUAAAGAUGUAAUGAAUGCCAUAGAAAAAUCCAAAUCAGUCUUGAAUCUCAUUCUUCAAAAGCUCCAAUGACUUGCUUUCCACAAAUUUGUAUAGAUCUUCUUUGUCACAACUCCCUUUCUUGUGUACUAAAGCUUAUUUAAAAGUUAACAAUAAGUUCAAGUUUUUUUUAAAUUUCAACAUAAAAUGAUGAAAAUGCAUAAAAUGGCAUGAAAUAACUUAAACUAGACUUGAAUCUUGCAACUCAAAAAUUCUAGCCACUCCCCUCC
This 628-nucleotide long non-coding RNA is filed under the name Physcomitrium patens. RNAcentral's name for it is "long non-coding RNA (PPAT_LNC003969)". Lineage: Eukaryota; Viridiplantae; Streptophyta; Bryopsida; Funariales; Funariaceae. The record is from RNAcentral.